GAUGAACGCUGGCGGCGUGCCUAAUACAUGCAAGUCGAGCGAACAGACGAGGAGCUUGCUCCUCUGACGUUAGCGGCGGACGGGUGAGUAACACGUGGAUAACCUACCUAUAAGACUGGGAUAACUUCGGGAAACCGGAGCUAAUACCGGAUAAUAUAUUGAACCGCAUGGUUCAAUAGUGAAAGACGGUUUUGCUGUCACUUAUAGAUGGAUCCGCGCCGCAUUAGCUAGUUGGUAAGGUAACGGCUUACCAAGGCAACGAUGCGUAGCCGACCUGAGAGGGGGAUCGGCCACACUGGAACUGAGACACGGUCCAGACCCCUACGGGAGGCAGCAGUAGGGAAUCUUCCGCAAUGGGCGAAAGCUUGACGGAGCAACGCCGCGUGAGUGAUGAAGGUCUUCGGAUCGUAAAACUCUGUUAUUAGGGAAGAACAAAUGUGUAAGUAACUAUGCACGUCUUGACGGUACCUAAUCAGAAAGCCACGGCUAACUACGUG
Molecule: ribosomal RNA, 497 nt
Filed under: uncultured bacterium
Lineage: Bacteria
Description: partial 16S ribosomal RNA
Rfam family: Bacterial small subunit ribosomal RNA
Source: RNAcentral